CGCGGCCUAUCAGCUAGUUGGUGAGGUAAUGGCUCACCAAGGCGACGACGGGUAGCCGGCCUGAGAGGGCGACCGGCCACAUUGGGACUGAGACACGGCCCAAACUCCUACGGGAGGCAGCAGUGGGGAAUAUUGGACAAUGGGCGCAAGCCUGAUCCAGCCAUGCCGCGUGAGUGAUGAAGGCCUUCGGGUUGUAAAGCUCUUUUGUCCGGGAAGAUAAUGACUGUACCGGAAGAAUAAGCCCCGGCAAACUUCGUGCCAGCAGCCGCGGUAAUACGAAGGGGGCUAGCGUUAUUCGGAAUUACUGGGCGUAAAGCGCACGUAGGCGGAUCAGAAAGUCAGAAGUGAAAUCCCAGGGCUCAACCUUGGAACUGCCUUUGAAACUCCUGGUCUUGAAUUCGAGAGAAGUGAGUGGAAUUCCGAGUGUAGAAGUGAAAUUCCUAAAUAUUCGGAAGAACACCAGUGGCGAAAGGCGCUCACUGGCUCGAUACUGACGCUGAAGUGCGAAAGCGUGGGGAGCAAACANGAUUAGAUACCCUUGGUAGUCCACGCCGUAAACGAUGAAUGCCAGUCGUUCGGUAACAUGGCUAUCCGUGGACACACUAACGGGAUAAGCAUUCCGCCUGGGGAGUACGGCCGCAAGGUUAAAACUCNAAGGAAUUGACGGGGGCCCGCACAAGCGGUGGAGCAUGUGGUUUAAUUCGAAGCAACGCGCAGAACUUUACCAACCCUUGACAUGGCAGUGACCGUUCCAGAGAUGGAUCUUUCUCGUAAGAGACACUGCACACAGGUGCUGCAUGGCUGUCGUCAGCUCGUGUCGUGAGAUGUUCGGUUAAGUCCGGCAACGAGCGCAACCCACGUCUUUAGUUGCCAGCAUUCAGUUGGGCACUCUAAAGAAACUGCCGGUGAUAAGCCGGAGGAAGGUGUGGAUGACGUCAAGUCCUCAUGGCCCUUACGGGUUGGGCUACACACGUGCUACAAUGGUGGUGACAAUGGGUUAAUCCCAAAAAGCCAUCUCAGUUCGGAUUGGGGUCUGCAACUCGACCCCAUGAAGUCGGAAUCGCUAGUAAUCGCGUAACAGCAUGACGCGGUGAAUACGUUCCCGGGCCUUGUACACACCGCCCGUCACACCAUGGGAAUUGGUUCUACCCGAAGGUGGUGCGCCAACCAGCAAUGGAGGCAGCAAAGCACGGUAGGAUCAGUGACUGGGGUGAAGUCGUAACAAGG
RNAcentral lists this ribosomal RNA (1227 nucleotides) under uncultured bacterium. Its description in RNAcentral is "partial 16S ribosomal RNA". It matches the Rfam family "Bacterial small subunit ribosomal RNA", at positions 232 to 1496 of the family's 1533-position model. The record is from RNAcentral.